Molecule: ribosomal RNA, 426 nt
Filed under: Clostridium perfringens
Lineage: Bacteria; Bacillati; Bacillota; Clostridia; Eubacteriales; Clostridiaceae
Description: bacterial SSU rRNA
Rfam family: Bacterial small subunit ribosomal RNA
Source: RNAcentral
AGUGGGGAAUAUUGCACAAUGGGGGAAACCCUGAUGCAGCAACGCCGCGUGAGUGAUGAAGGUUUUCGGAUCGUAAAGCUCUGUCUUUGGGGAAGAUAAUGACGGUACCCAAGGAGGAAGCCACGGCUAACUACGUGCCAGCAGCCGCGGUAAUACGUAGGUGGCGAGCGUUAUCCGGAUUUACUGGGCGUAAAGGGAGCGUAGGCGGAUGAUUAAGUGGGAUGUGAAAUACCCGGGCUCAACUUGGGUGCUGCAUUCCAAACUGGUUAUCUAGAGUGCAGGAGAGGAGAGUGGAAUUCCUAGUGUAGCGGUGAAAUGCGUAGAGAUUAGGAAGAACACCAGUGGCGAAGGCGACUCUCUGGACUGUAACUGACGCUGAGGCUCGAAAGCGUGGGGAGCAAACAGGAUUAGAUACCCUGGUAGUCC